RNAcentral lists this long non-coding RNA (212 nucleotides) under Elaeis guineensis (African oil palm). Its description in RNAcentral is "long non-coding RNA (EGUI_LNC038806)". Lineage: Eukaryota; Viridiplantae; Streptophyta; Magnoliopsida; Arecales; Arecaceae. The record is from RNAcentral.
UAGUGGAUGAUCCAGCUGCCGUGUCUACAAUUAGUAAAUAAUAAAAUUAAAUUAAUUAAAGUAUGCAUAUAAGAGUUUUUAUAGUUCUAGUAAAGAAUUUUGGUAUAAAUUUUGUAUCAGUCUGUCGGCCACAAUAUGUGUGCCGACUGAGCCGCUCGUGUGUCUGAUCAGAUUUUGCUAGAUGGCUCGAUUCUACUAGGCCCUCUGCUGCU